Molecule: non-coding RNA, 62 nt
Filed under: Candidatus Lindowiibacteriota
Lineage: Bacteria
Description: Candidatus Lindowbacteria Fluoride sequence
Rfam family: Fluoride riboswitch aptamer (crcB RNA motif)
Source: RNAcentral
AGAUGUGCAGGCGAUGGAGUUCGCCUUAACCGCCCCUACCGGCUGAUGACUCCUACCACAUG